GUGAGGAAUAUUGGUCAAUGGGCGAGAGCCUGAACCAGCCAAGUAGCGUGAGGGAUGACUGCCCUAUGGGUUGUAAACCUCUUUUGCAGGGGGGUAAAGUGGUCCACGUGUGGAUCAUUGCAAGUACCCUGCGAAUAAGGAUCGGCUAACUCCGUGCCAGCAGCCGCGGUAAUACGGAGGAUCCGAGCGUUAUCCGGAUUUAUUGGGUUUAAAGGGAGCGUAGGCGGGGGUUUAAGUCAGCUGUGAAAUGCCGUGGCCCAACCAUGGAACUGCAGUUGAAACUGGACCUCUUGAGAGUACAUAAGGAAGGCGGAAUUCGUGGUGUAGCGGUGAAAUGCAUAGAUAUCACGAAGAACUCCGAUUGCGAAGGCAGCUUUCCGGGGUACAUCUGACGCUGAAGCUCGAAAGUGCGGGAAUCAAACAGGAUUAGAAACCCCUGUAGUCC
Molecule: ribosomal RNA, 445 nt
Filed under: uncultured bacterium
Lineage: Bacteria
Description: partial 16S ribosomal RNA
Rfam family: Bacterial small subunit ribosomal RNA
Source: RNAcentral